UCCGGCUUGACGCCGGCAGUCCCCCGAGAGUCCUCAGCAUGACCUGUUAGUAACAAAGGAUAAGGGUUGCGCUCGUUGCGGGACUUAACCCAACAUUUCACAACACGAGCUGACGACAGCCAUGCAGCACCUGUGCACGAUCUCCGAAGAGGGGCUCUCGUUUCUGAGAGCUUGCUCGUACAUGUCAAGCCUAGGUAAGGUUCUUCGCGUUGCGUCGAAUUAAACCACAUGCUCCACCGCUUGUGCGGGCCCCCGUCAAUUCCUUUGAGUUUUAGCCUUGCGGCCGUACUCCCCAGGCGGGGCGCUUAAUGCGUUAGCUGCGGCACGGAGACCGUGGAAUGGCCCCCACACCUAGCGCCCAACGUUUACGGCGUGGACUAC
RNAcentral lists this unclassified non-coding RNA (381 nucleotides) under uncultured bacterium. RNAcentral describes it as "contains 16S-23S intergenic spacer region". The record is from RNAcentral.